CGGCUACCACUUACAGAUGGACCCGCGGCGCAUUAGCUAGUUGGUGAGGUAACGGCUCACCAAGGCAACGAUGCGUAGCCGACCUGAGAGGGUGAUCGGCCACACUGGGACUGAGACACGGCCCAGACUCCUACGGGAGGCAGCAGUAGGGAAUCUUCCGCAAUGGACGAAAGUCUGACGGAGCAACGCCGCGUGAGUGAUGAAGGUUUUCGGAUCGUAAAGCUCUGUUGUUAGGGAAGAACAAGUGCCGUUCAAAUAGGGCGGCACCUUGACGGUACCUAACCAGAAAGCCACGGCUAACUACGUGCCAGCAGCCGCGGUAAUACGUAGGUGGCAAGCGUUGUCCGGAAUUAUUGGGCGUAAAGGGCUCGCAGGCGGUUUCUUAAGUCUGAUGUGAAAGCCCCCGGCUCAACCGGGGAGGGUCAUUGGAAACUGGGGAACUUGAGUGCAGAAGAGGAGAGUGGAAUUCCACGUGUAGCGGUGAAAUGCGUAGAGAUGUGGAGGAACACCAGUGGCGAAGGCGACUCUCUGGUCUGUAACUGACGCUGAGGA
RNAcentral lists this ribosomal RNA (552 nucleotides) under Bacillus atrophaeus. Its description in RNAcentral is "bacterial SSU rRNA". It matches the Rfam family "Bacterial small subunit ribosomal RNA", at positions 209 to 752 of the family's 1533-position model. Lineage: Bacteria; Bacillati; Bacillota; Bacilli; Caryophanales; Bacillaceae. The record is from RNAcentral.